Long non-coding RNA from Centruroides sculpturatus (bark scorpion), 321 nucleotides. RefSeq lists it as uncharacterized. The record is from RefSeq and is a predicted model, not a curated record. The transcript has 2 exons. NCBI's taxonomy places the organism in Eukaryota, Metazoa, Arthropoda, Arachnida, Scorpiones, Buthidae.
GUGAAGGAAACGAGGGCCAAGUUCUCGGGGGUUACGGUGACGGUGGCACGUUUUUCCCCUCGCGCACGCGCGGAUGACGUCCUCGUCGACGACGUACGGGAAACUACAUGCCUUAAAUCCGCACGCGCGCCUGCGUGUACAUAUUACUAUGGGUCGAACGCCGAUUUAAGUCUUGGAUUAACGUUUGUUUAGAUAACACGGCGCGCUCCGCGUCGUCGACGCCGACGCAAUUAUUAGACGUGAUAGCUUUGUAAUAUAUCUGUGAUGCAGAAUAUAUAUACAAACCUAUUAACAUACGGAACAAUUGUAUAAUUAUUAUUA